AGUGAACGCUGGCGGUAGGCCUAACACAUGCAAGUCGAACGGCAGCACAGUAAGAGCUUGCUCUUACGGGUGGCGAGUGGCGGACGGGUGAGGAAUACAUCGGAAUCUACUUUUUCGUGGGGGAUAACGUAGGGAAACUUAUGCUAAUACCGCAUACGACCUACGGGUGAAAGCAGGGGAUCUUCGGACCUUGCGCGACUGAAUGAGACGAUGUCGGAUUAGCUAGUUGGCGGGGUAAAGGCCCACCAAGGCGACGAUCCGUAGCUGGUCUGAGAGGAUGAUCAGCCACACUGGAACUGAGACACGGUCCAGACUCCUACGGGAGGCAGCAGUGGGGAAUAUUGGACAAUGGGCGCAAGCCUGAUCCAGCCAUACCGCGUGGGUGAAGAAGGCCUUCGGGUUGUAAAGCCCUUUUGUUGGGAAAGAAAAGCAGCAGGUUAAUACCCCGCUGUUCUGACGGUACCCAAAGAAUAAGCACCGGCUAACUUCGUG
RNAcentral lists this ribosomal RNA (492 nucleotides) under uncultured bacterium. Its description in RNAcentral is "partial 16S ribosomal RNA". It matches the Rfam family "Bacterial small subunit ribosomal RNA", at positions 29 to 507 of the family's 1533-position model. The record is from RNAcentral.